This 1100-nucleotide ribosomal RNA is filed under the name Microbacterium sp. M118. RNAcentral's name for it is "bacterial SSU rRNA". It matches the Rfam family "Bacterial small subunit ribosomal RNA", at positions 28 to 1140 of the family's 1533-position model. RNAcentral also lists the same sequence under 2 other names. Lineage: Bacteria; Bacillati; Actinomycetota; Actinomycetes; Micrococcales; Microbacteriaceae. The record is from RNAcentral.
GAUGAACGCUGGCGGCGUGCUUAACACAUGCAAGUCGAACGGUGAAGCAGAGCUUGCUCUGUGGAUCAGUGGCGAACGGGUGAGUAACACGUGAGCAAUCUGCCCCUGACUCUGGGAUAAGCGCUGGAAACGGCGUCUAAUACCGGAUACGAGCUGCGAAGGCAUCUUCAGCAGUUGGAAAGAAUUUCGGUCAGGGAUGAGCUCGCGGCCUAUCAGCUUGUUGGUGAGGUAAUGGCUCACCAAGGCGUCGACGGGUAGCCGGCCUGAGAGGGUGACCGGCCACACUGGGACUGAGACACGGCCCAGACUCCUACGGGAGGCAGCAGUGGGGAAUAUUGCACAAUGGGCGGAAGCCUGAUGCAGCAACGCCGCGUGAGGGAUGACGGCCUUCGGGUUGUAAACCUCUUUUAGCAGGGAAGAAGCGAAAGUGACGGUACCUGCAGAAAAAGCGCCGGCUAACUACGUGCCAGCAGCCGCGGUAAUACGUAGGGCGCAAGCGUUAUCCGGAAUUAUUGGGCGUAAAGAGCUCGUAGGCGGUCUGUCGCGUCUGCUGUGAAAUCCCGAGGCUCAACCUCGGGUCUGCAGUGGGUACGGGCAGACUAGAGUGCGGUAGGGGAGAUUGGAAUUCCUGGUGUAGCGGUGGAAUGCGCAGAUAUCAGGAGGAACACCGAUGGCGAAGGCAGAUCUCUGGGCCGUAACUGACGCUGAGGAGCGAAAGGGUGGGGAGCAAACAGGCUUAGAUACCCUGGUAGUCCACCCCGUAAACGUUGGGAACUAGUUGUGGGGUCCAUUCCACGGAUUCCGUGACGCAGCUAACGCAUUAAGUUCCCCGCCUGGGGAGUACGGCCGCAAGGCUAAAACUCAAAGGAAUUGACGGGGACCCGCACAAGCGGCGGAGCAUGCGGAUUAAUUCGAUGCAACGCGAAGAACCUUACCAAGGCUUGACAUAUACGAGAACGGGCUAGAAAUAGUCAACUCUUUGGACACUCGUAAACAGGUGGUGCAUGGUUGUCGUCAGCUCGUGUCGUGAGAUGUUGGGUUAAGUCCCGCAACGAGCGCAACCCUCGUUCUAUGUUGCCAGCACGUAAUGGUGGGAACUC